UACGGAGGGUGCAAGCGUUUUUCGGAAUCACUGGGCGUAAAGCGCGUGUAGGCGGUCUGUUAAGUCUGAUGUGAAAGCCCGGGGCUCACCCCCGGAAGUGCAUUGGAAACUGCCAGACUGGAGUCCCGGAGAGGAGGGUGGAAUUCCUGGUGUAGCGGUGAAAUGCGUAGAUAUCAGGAGGAACACCGGUGGCGAAGGCGGCCCUCUGGACGGUGACUGACGCUGAGACGCGAAAGCGUGGGGAGCAAACAGG
Molecule: ribosomal RNA, 253 nt
Filed under: uncultured bacterium
Lineage: Bacteria
Description: partial 16S ribosomal RNA
Rfam family: Bacterial small subunit ribosomal RNA
Source: RNAcentral